GGAAGGCUAAGUCUUAACCACUGGACUGCCAGGGAAGUCCCAAGAGUGCGCUUUAGAUGACAGAGGGGAAGUGGAGAUGACGUCAGGAAAUCAACGACAUAUCCAAUAAUUCGACUUCCACCAUCGCUGCGAGGCUUCUUCCAGCCUAUGCUACAAGAUGACUUGGUAACAGAAGUCACCUUCAGGUCCACAACUGGUCCAGGGGUUUCUAAAGCAAAGGAGAAAUGAUGAGUCUAAGCCCCAGAAAACCAAGGUAACCAGUAAUGGGGCUACCUCCGUCGCUGUCGGGUCUGUCCCACGCCACAAAGAUGCACUCUUUGUUGACUUUAGUGACACGUGCGUUCUUGGGUUCACUGGGAACACCUGGAGGUGAAGACCAGGGAAAUGUCAGUUUCCAGCCUA
Dama dama (fallow deer) is the source of this 402-nucleotide long non-coding RNA. RefSeq lists it as uncharacterized. The record is from RefSeq and is a predicted model, not a curated record. NCBI's taxonomy places the organism in Eukaryota, Metazoa, Chordata, Mammalia, Artiodactyla, Cervidae. The transcript is spliced from 3 exons.